AUGUCUCCAUUACUCCACAUCAGAUACUGGGUUUUGGUUUGGAGGCUUCAAUUUCCCUGUGCCCAUCAGAUGGACAGAGAUUCACAUACCUCUAACCAAGAACCUCCUGCACUUUCUCUUUCAGAGGGUAAAUACAUAUGCCAUUCUUACUGCCAAGACCUGGUACAUCUGGAUUAUCCACAAAAUGGGAAAUUACCAAGCGGUAUGCCCAUUUGUGAAGUAAGACACUCAAGCCAAAACAACCCUCAGGCUCUAAUCAUGCUCCAGUGUUGCUGUACAGCUCUUGCCCAGAAAUACUGCUGUCCAACUAAAACCAUAUAUUCAGGCAGCUGAUUGAAGCCAGAGACCCUGACCUUGAGCUGCGUUGCUGUGCAGUAAUCUGAGCCAUCUGCGCUCAGCAACAAUUAAAACCUUCAGAUCUCUUGGGCGUUUCCUUCCUCUGAUGAUAACUUAGGGGCUGCAGCACAACUCGGAGGGAAACAGCGCAGUCUUUGGUGCCAGCUUGAUUCCUGCGGGGCAGUUCUAAACAGAGAAAUCCCUGCUUGAUGUACUAGUUCUUUCCUCAGCUGAAAUGCAGGUUCUUAACAUCUAACAAACCCUGAACAUUUAAUUAUUCUGAUUGCCUCUUUUGCCCAGAGGGGCAGAGGAACCUUCUGUUUAUGGAGCCAGAGUCAGACAAAAUUAUGAGGUAAAGUUGGUUGUGAACAGCUCAUGUCUCCUCUGUAGUCCAAAUCUCUUUUUCGGCCUUUCCUGCCAGCUUUCCAUCCCCUCAGAGGUCUUGCUGCCUUCUGCUAAUGAGAUCCAACAACAACAACAACAAUAAAACCCCAAAGCAAGUUAUUACUUCACUCCUUACCUCCUUUCUUUCCCUUCAAAAUGCUUGAAUCCUUAUGAUUGUGACCUUUCCUAUCAAUUCCGGGGGAAAUGCACACAAUAAAUACAUUUAACCAAAGUGGCCAAGAAAGUCAUACUGUCACUCUUGGGAGACGGAGGUGAGAAGUUAUAAGAAAAAAAAUCCUUCAGGAAAAGAAUUUGAAAAGGAAUAGAUAUAGGUAUAUGUAUAACUGAAUCAUUUUGAUGUAUACCUGAAACUAACACAUUAUAAAUCAACCACAGUCCAAUAUAAAAUAAACGUUAGAAAGAAAGAAAAGUCCUUCCAGAGAAUUGAUUUCUUUUUUUAAAUUUAAUUUUAUUUUUAACUGGAAGAU
RNAcentral lists this long non-coding RNA (1208 nucleotides) under Bos grunniens (domestic yak). RNAcentral's name for it is "lncRNA (ENSBGRG00000016960.1)". Lineage: Eukaryota; Metazoa; Chordata; Mammalia; Artiodactyla; Bovidae. The record is from RNAcentral.